Carassius auratus (goldfish) is the source of this 848-nucleotide long non-coding RNA. RefSeq lists it as uncharacterized. The record is from RefSeq and is a predicted model, not a curated record. The transcript has 3 exons. Lineage: Eukaryota; Metazoa; Chordata; Actinopteri; Cypriniformes; Cyprinidae.
CUAGAACUUCACACAACAAACUUGUAGCAGCCAUUCAUCUUGUGAUCAUCUGUAGAAAGCAUCGUCUAUUUUUCGGCUUUCCAUGUUUUCACUGGUGUACGGUAGGAGGCCCUAUCUUCUGAAAGAGUACUGAACAUCUGAAUCAAAACACGGCGAAGAAGCAGAAUCAAGUGAUCACAUUAAAGGAAAUAGCCACUCCGAAACCAUCGCCUCUCUGAAUGAUGUUUGGCAGUAGCGGAGGCCAGAAAUGACUCUCAGGCCAAUGGGUAUUUAGCAGACAGAUGAAUACUGGCUGAACUUUCAAGAAAUGAGUAAUUUGCCCUUUAGGACUAUGUGCAUGCCUAUGGACUCCAGCAGACCCUGAAUGCACAGCAGAACAGAGUGGUAUUGAUAUGAAAGGGCAAUGGUGGGCAUUGACAAUCUUGGUUGGGGUUAUCAAAGGCCAGGGCUACAACAACACAGUGCCAUGCAUGUUUUGAACAGUUGGUGCCAUGUGAAGGGCUGGCAUCUGCUGGCAUCCUUUAAGCACAUUUGCUUGCAUUAUGUUUGCUCUGAUCACAUGAUAUCAGUUGCCUGAAAAGCCACAAGUGUGUCUGGGGCAACAGAUAUAAGGUAAUUGAUUAAAUCACAUUAAAGCAGAUGCAUUAUGAGAGUGCACCGUGAUUUUGAUUAAAUUAGCUGAUUCAGAACAGUGGGUGGGGCGGCAAUUGUUCAAAGUGCUUGUUGCCAGGUGAUUGUACAAAAAUAGUGUUUUUAAUAUCUCAGUCCAGCAAAAUACUGUACAGUAUAUAAUCCUCAUAUGUACUGUAAAACAUCAAAGCUGAAGAAAAGCUAUUUAUAAAGCCCAC